This 939-nucleotide long non-coding RNA is filed under the name Nicotiana benthamiana. RNAcentral's name for it is "long non-coding RNA (NBEN_LNC019563)". Lineage: Eukaryota; Viridiplantae; Streptophyta; Magnoliopsida; Solanales; Solanaceae. The record is from RNAcentral.
CUAACAAGGAAAAAAAGAAGAAGAACGCUAAAACAGCUUCAGCUGCGCAGAACGGUGCAAGGCAACCCCCCUAAAAAAACUUCAUCUAUUCAGGAAGAAGCCAUCUCCCAUGGCUUCUUAGCAGAACAUAAAACAAAAUCCACCCUCUUUUUCAACGCCCAGCAAAACUUUCCCCAAUCACCAAGCCAUCAGCCGAUGGCCACUCUUUCACCACCCAAAGGCGCACGCACUCACGCGAGCAAAGAAGCUUAAAAACAGAAAUUGUAAGGUCAGAUCGAGUUCUUAUGGUUGGGCUGUCUCUUUGAGGUCGAAAGUCGUGUUCACUGCCUUCAUUUGAGGUUUCCGGUCGGGUCUGUCUGGUUUAGCUUCAUUAGCUUGAGUUCUUUGUAAACAAGCAGCAGGUUCUUUGGAAAUUGAAAGUAAUUUAGGUCACUCUUUUUCUCCUACUCAUUUCUUGAUUCAGUCAUUGUUUGUAUAAUUACUUGACGGCAUGGCCUUUAGUACAUUUAUGGAGUCUAUUUUGUUCAUCUUUGAGCUUACUUUGAAACAUUUGAGUCCAGAAUGUAGUGAUUUUUGCGAGAAUAGUUCAUCCAUAUGCACUGAGAUUAGUGAAUUAGCUUAAGUGUAUUUUGCAAUUCCCAUGUGGUAACCUAUCAAGGAAAUGACAUAGUAGCUUUCCCGGGGUGUUUGUCUCAAUGGUUUAUAUGUUUAGUUCAUUUUGCUCAUUCUUUUUAUGAGUGUUAGGAUGCUUUAUUGAUGUACAUAUUUAAGGCUAUCUUUAUCUCUAUUUCUUUAUUUUGUCGUUGUCCGUUUUGUUUCUCUUUUCUCAUGUGCUUGGUCAUUGAUAUUACAAUCCUAGAUAGACAUAUGUUAGAUAUGUUGUUUGCUUUGUGCAGUUUAAUGAGUUGCACGAAUGGAAGGGUGAUUGUUGAGCUACUG